UACGGGGGGGGCAAGCGUUGUUCGGAAUUACUGGGCGUAAAGGGCUCGUAGGUGGCCCCAUAAGUCAGACGUGAAAUCCCUCGGCUCAACCGAGGAACUGCGUCUGAGACUGCGGGGCUUGAAUCCGGGAGAGGGAUGCGGAAUUCCAGGUGUAGCGGUGAAAUGCGUAGAUAUCUGGAGGAACACCGGUGGCGAAGGCGGCAUCCUGGACCGGUAUUGACACUGAGGAGCGAAAGCCAGGGGAGCAAACAGG
This 253-nucleotide ribosomal RNA is filed under the name uncultured bacterium. RNAcentral describes it as "partial 16S ribosomal RNA". It matches the Rfam family "Bacterial small subunit ribosomal RNA", at positions 524 to 776 of the family's 1533-position model. The record is from RNAcentral.